Molecule: long non-coding RNA, 493 nt
Filed under: Zonotrichia albicollis (white-throated sparrow)
Lineage: Eukaryota; Metazoa; Chordata; Aves; Passeriformes; Passerellidae
Description: lncRNA (ENSZALG00000009894.1)
Source: RNAcentral
AAAAAUGGAGAAAAAGGAAAAUGUGCAGAUGGAAGAAACAUCAUCAUGAGGGCAAAAUGGGGCAUUGUUGUUUGAAGGGAACAGCUCCAUUCUCCAAAUGAUGACUGGAUAUCCACCUGAAGACUGGUUAACGAAUCAAAGAAAUGAGUCAGGAAAGCAAGACCAUGAAUCGUUCUCUGAGGCCAAGUAGCCAUGACGUGAGGUAUGUACAUUGUGCCUGAGUCUCCCCAUGCUCCAUUCAUUUUUCCUGUGGUGAUAGAUCAUGAAUAACUUUAAUUACUUUUUUUCAGUUCAAAGGUCAUGAAAUGAUGUAAAAGCGCCAACAUAUGUCAUAUCCACUGGUGUGAAAUGUGUGAUGCUUUCUGUAAAUUCUCAUUAAACCGAAAAAAUACAGCAGACCACAUGUCAGGGAACUCAUAUACUCUUGUAACAUAGUCACCUUAACUCUGGCAACCAGGCCACUAUUUAGGCCCAAAACGUGUUGGCUAACAAG